GGACUAAAAUCCGUUGGCUUUUUAGACCGUGAGGGUUCAAGUCCCUCUACCCCUA
RNAcentral lists this transfer RNA (55 nucleotides) under Herbertus longifissus. RNAcentral's name for it is "partial tRNA-Leu". Lineage: Eukaryota; Viridiplantae; Streptophyta; Jungermanniopsida; Jungermanniales; Herbertaceae. The record is from RNAcentral. RNAcentral also lists the same sequence under 1 other name.